This 253-nucleotide ribosomal RNA is filed under the name uncultured bacterium. RNAcentral describes it as "partial 16S ribosomal RNA". It matches the Rfam family "Bacterial small subunit ribosomal RNA", at positions 524 to 776 of the family's 1533-position model. The record is from RNAcentral.
UACGUAGGGUGCGAGCGUUAAUCGGAAUUACUGGGCGUAAAGUGUGCGCAGGUGGCUGCGCAAGUCGAGUGUGAAAGCCCCGGGCUUAACUUGGGAAUUGCGCUCGAAACUACGUGGCUAGAGUGUGGCAGAGGAAGGUGGAAUUCCACGUGUAGCGGUGAAAUGCGUAGAGAUGUGGAGGAACACCGAUGGCGAAGGCAGCCUUCUGGGCCAACACUGACGCUCAUGCACGAAAGCGUGGGGAGCAAACAGG